This 1377-nucleotide ribosomal RNA is filed under the name metagenome. RNAcentral describes it as "bacterial LSU rRNA". It matches the Rfam family "Bacterial large subunit ribosomal RNA", at positions 1526 to 2925 of the family's 2925-position model. The record is from RNAcentral.
AGUCACUCUGGCAAAUCCGGGUGGCAAUGGGAAGCCGUGAUGCGGAGCGAAAUAAAGUAGCGAAGUCCGUGAGCCAUGCGUCAAGAAAAGCCGCUAUCGUUUAUACCGUACCCGUACCGUAAACCGACACAGGUGGAUGAGGAGAGAAUCCUAAGGCCGGCGGAAGAAGCAUUGUCAAGGAACUCGGCAAAAUGGCCCCGUAACUUAGGGAUAAGGGGUGCCUGGGAAACCAGGCCGCAGAGAAUAGGCUCAAGCAACUGUUCAUCAAAAACACAGGUCUAUGCGAAACCGAAAGGUGAGGUAUAUGGGCUGACGCCUGCCCGGUGCUGGAAGGUUAAGAGGAGAGGUAGCGCAAGCGAAGCUUUGAAUUUAAGCCCCAGUAAACGGCGGCCGUAACAAUAACGGUCCUAAGGUAGCGAAAUUCCUUGUCGGGUAAGUUCCGACCCGCACGAAAGGCGUAAUGAUUUGAGCGCUGUCUCGACAAUGCAUCCGGUGAAAUUGAAGUACCAGUGAAGAUGCUGGUUACCUGCGCCAGGACGGAAAGACCCCAUGGAGCUUUACUCCAGUUUGGUACUGGGACUCGGUAUUGCAUGUACAGGAUAGGUGGGAGGCUGAGAGACAGUAACGCCAGUUAUUGUGGAGCCGCUGUUGGGAUACCACCCUUGCAGUAUUGGGUUUCUAACCAGCCGCCGUGACCCGGCGGUGGGACAAUGCCAGACGGGGAGUUUGACUGGGGCGGUCGCCUCCGAAAGGGUAUCGGAGGCGCCCAAAGGUUCCCUCAGAAUGGACGGAAACCAUUCGAAGAGUGCAAAGGCAGAAGGGAGCUUGACUGCGACACCGACGGGUGGAGCAGGUACGAAAGUAGGGCUUAGUGAUCCGGUGGUAUUAAGUGGGAAUGCCAUCGCUCAACGGAUAAAAGCUACCCUGGGAUAACAGGCUUAUCACUCCCAAGAGUUCACAUCGACGGAGUGGUUUGGCACCUCGAUGUCGGCUCAUCGCAUCCUGGGGCUGUAGUAGGUCCCAAGGGUUGGGCUGUUCGCCCAUUAAAGCGGUACGCGAGCUGGGUUCAGAACGUCGUGAGACAGUUCGGUCCCUAUCCGGCGUGGGCGUAGGAUAUCUGAGAGGAGCUGUCCUUAGUACGAGAGGACCGGGAUGGACGGGCCGCUGGUGCAUCGGUUAGACUGCCAAGUCUACGGCCGAGUAGCCAAGCCCGGAAGGGAUAAACGCUGAAGGCAUCUAAGCGUGAAGCCCCCCUUAAGAUGAGAUAUCCCAUUCGAAAGAAGUAAACCCCCUUGAAGACGACGAGGUAGAUAGGGCAGAGGUGGAAGUGUGGCAACACAUGGAGCUGACUGUUACUAAUCGGGUGAGGGCUUGACC